Molecule: ribosomal RNA, 255 nt
Filed under: uncultured bacterium
Lineage: Bacteria
Description: partial small subunit ribosomal RNA
Rfam family: Bacterial small subunit ribosomal RNA
Source: RNAcentral
AGGACAAACGCUGGCGGCGUACCUAAGACAUGCAAGUCGAACGGAUCGUGUGCCUUCGGGUAGACGGUGAGUGGCGAACGGGUGAGUAACACGUAGGAACCUGUCGCACAGUGGGGGAUAACGCUGGGAAACCGGCGCUAAUACCGCAUGAGGUGGGCGGUGUAAAGCCGUUCACGAAAGCAGAGAUGCGCUGAGUGAGGGGCCUGCGGCCGAUUAGCUAGUGGUGGGUAACGCCUACAAGGCGACGAUCGGUAG